GGAACUCCGGAAGGACAUUA
Molecule: ribosomal RNA, 20 nt
Filed under: Phellinus robustus
Lineage: Eukaryota; Fungi; Basidiomycota; Agaricomycetes; Hymenochaetales; Hymenochaetaceae
Description: partial 18S ribosomal RNA
Source: RNAcentral